This 358-nucleotide ribosomal RNA is filed under the name uncultured bacterium. RNAcentral's name for it is "bacterial SSU rRNA". It matches the Rfam family "Bacterial small subunit ribosomal RNA", at positions 64 to 422 of the family's 1533-position model. The record is from RNAcentral.
GCACAAGGAGUAGCAAUACGAAUUGUGCUUAGUGGCGGACGGGUGAGUAACACGUAGGUAACCUACCCUCGAGCGGGGGACAACCCAGGGAAACUUGGGCUAAUACCGCAUAAGACCACGGACUGGGAUGUCAGUGGUAAAAGGAGCAAUUCACUUGGGGAUGGGCCUGCGGCCUAUCAGGUAGUUGGUGGGGUAAAGGCCUACCAAGCCAGAGACGGGUAGCCGGUCUGAGAGGACGAACGGCCACACUGGAACUGAGAGACGGUCCAGACUCCUACGGGAGGCAGCAGUGGGGAAUUUUGCACAAUGGGCGAAAGCCUGAUGCAGCGACGCCGCGUGGAGGACGAAGGCCUUCGGG